ACGAACGCUGGCGGCGUGCUUCACACCUGCAAGUCGAACGGAAAGGCCCUGCUUUUGUGGGGUGCUCGAGUGGCGAACGGGUGAGUAACACGUGAGUAACCUGCCCUUGACUUUGGGAUAACUUCAGGAAACAGGGGCUAAUACCGGAUAGGAGCUCCUGCUGCAUGGUGGGGGUUGGAAAGUUUCGGCGGUUGGGGAUGGACUCGCGGCUUAUCAGCUUGUUGGUGGGGUAGUGGCUUACCAAGGCUUUGACGGGUAGCCGGCCUGAGAGGGUGACCGGCCACAUUGGGACUGAGAUACGGCCCAGACUCCUACGGGAGGCAGCAGUGGGGAAUAUUGCACAAUGGGCGGAAGCCUGAUGCAGCAACGCCGCGUGCGGGAUGACGGCCUUCGGGUUGUAAACCGCUUUCGCCUGUGACGAAGCGUGAGUGACGGUAAUGGGUAAAGAAGCACCGGCUAACUACGUG
Molecule: ribosomal RNA, 467 nt
Filed under: uncultured bacterium
Lineage: Bacteria
Description: partial 16S ribosomal RNA
Rfam family: Bacterial small subunit ribosomal RNA
Source: RNAcentral